This 498-nucleotide ribosomal RNA is filed under the name uncultured bacterium. RNAcentral's name for it is "partial 16S ribosomal RNA". It matches the Rfam family "Bacterial small subunit ribosomal RNA", at positions 30 to 523 of the family's 1533-position model. The record is from RNAcentral.
AUUGAACGCUGGCGGCAUGCCUUACACAUGCAAGUCGAACGGUAACGCGGGGCAACCUGGCGACGAGUGGCGAACGGGUGAGUAAUGUAUCGGAACGUGCCCAGUUGUGGGGGAUAACUGCUCGAAAGAGCAGCUAAUACCGCAUACGACCUGAGGGUGAAAGCGGGGGAUCGCAAGACCUCGCGCAAUUGGUGCGGCCGAUAUCAGAUUAGGUAGUUGGUGGGGUAAAGGCUCACCAAGCCGACGAUCUGUAGCUGGUCUGAGAGGACGACCAGCCACACUGGGACUGAGACACGGCCCAGACUCCUACGGGAGGCAGCAGUGGGGAAUUUUGGACAAUGGACGCAAGUCUGAUCCAGCCAUGCCGCGUGCGGGAAGAAGGCCUUCGGGUUGUAAACCGCUUUUGUCAGGGAAGAAAAGGCUCCUUCUAAUAUAGGGGGCUCAUGACGGUACCUGAAGAAUAAGCACCGGCUAACUACGUGCCAGCCGCCGCCGUAA